AACGUUGAGGACCCCAGUCUGUCCAAGCUGCUCUCAAGGCCUCUAGAAAUCCUGAUGCAAAUCAGAGGGGACCUGAGGGGCUGCACCAGAGAAACUCAUUCUCAUCGACACUCCAGGAGGCUGAACAAUUGGCUCCAAAAUUUCCAUGAGAGCAAAGAGACGGAAACACCUGGCUGCCUGGAAGCAUCUGUGAUCCUCAAUCUCUUCCGACUGCUGAACGAAGACUUGAGAUGCGCAGCCUACAGGGAGCUCUGUGUGUAGCCAUCUGGUCUCUGCAGUGCCCGUGUCCACAUCUACUUAGAGACCGGAGAGUCCCUAGCCUGAGAGCACUGCAUACAUAUUGGGAGAAGACAUGUGUCAACCAGGAACAUUCAUCUUCUCCCUCUGGCUUCUAAUCAUAGAUCCCCAAGCAAACUGAUUCCAUCCUUUUAUACCAAAGAAUUACACAACAAUUGGCCUCCAGGUUGCUCCAACUUCCAGCUGGUGCAGCACUCUAGACUCCUUACAGAAGAUUAAUUGUAGGACCAUUUUUCAUCACAGUUGGAAUUUAGGACUUCAAUAGGAUUUGGCCCUCUGGGGAUAUUAUUUAUUGAAUGUAAUUGUAUUGUCACUAUAUGAAUGCAUUUUAGCCAAGGUAACAUAUCCAAAAAUAUUGGAAACAUUUCAUAAGCUUUGAUUUAAAACAACAAAACAACGCACUCCAGUUCUAGGAUUUACACACUAGUCACAGCUUCAGAUCUCUUAGAAACAACCUCAGGAAAUGCAUUCUUACUGUAAAUAUCCUCGGCAGAUGUAUUUAUACAGAGCAUAUUUUUAUCUUGCUGCUUCUUUAUGUAUUAUAACCUGACUAAGAAGGGUAAUUGAUUUGUAUAACUUCCAGACUUGAACCAAAGUGUUCUUUAUUAUGGAUCAGCUAUUUAUUAUUUAUGUAUUUAUCUAUUACUAAGAUUAUGCCUUUUUAUUUAUAAUUGUGAACCAAUAAAAUUGUUUUCCCAGG
Molecule: long non-coding RNA, 997 nt
Organism: Chelonia mydas (Green sea turtle)
Lineage: Eukaryota; Metazoa; Chordata; Testudines; Cheloniidae
Exons: 3
Source: RefSeq, a predicted model, not a curated record